This 260-nucleotide long non-coding RNA is filed under the name Lathyrus oleraceus (garden pea). RNAcentral describes it as "Pisum sativum (pea) long non-coding RNA (PSAT_LNC025240)". The record is from RNAcentral. Lineage: Eukaryota; Viridiplantae; Streptophyta; Magnoliopsida; Fabales; Fabaceae.
UUUUCCAUUAAUAAUAAUUUAUAGUAAUUGUUUUUAAGGGAAUGUGACAGCUAUUUUAAAUCUCUCACUCAAUAACCAACCAAUUUCACUAAAAAACAAAAAAACAAAAAUCUCAUAUCUCUCUCUUCACACUCACGUGAAACUCUCUCUCAAUUCCUCCUCAUUUCUUCCUCUCACCACGCGUCCCCCCACUAAUCUUAUCUCCACUCAUUUCCUCACAAAACAAAAUCUCUCAGACUCUCUCUUCACUACCUCACAUU